RNAcentral lists this ribosomal RNA (1491 nucleotides) under uncultured bacterium. RNAcentral's name for it is "bacterial SSU rRNA". It matches the Rfam family "Bacterial small subunit ribosomal RNA". The record is from RNAcentral.
AGAGUUUGAUCAUGGCUCAGGAUGAACGCUGGCGGCGUGCCUAACACAUGCAAGUCGAGCGGAGAUCUUGGAAGUAGCAAUACGGAAAAGAUCUUAGCGGCGGACGGGUGAGUAACACGUGAGGAACCUACCUUCAACUGGGGAAUAACACCGUGAAAACGGUGCUAAUACCGCAUAACGUUGCACCAUGGCAUCAUGGAGCAACCAAAGGAGCAAUCCGGUUAAAGAUGGCCUCGCGUCCGAUUAGUUAGUUGGUGGGGUAAUGGCCUACCAAGACAGCGAUCGGUAGCCGGACUGAGAGGUCGAUCGGCCACAUUGGAACUGAGAAACGGUCCAGACUCCUACGGGAGGCAGCAGUGGGGAAUAUUGGGUAAUGGGCGAAAGCCUGACCCAGCAACGCCGCGUGAAGGAAGAAGGCCUUCGGGUUGUAAACUUCUUUGAUCGGGGACGAAAAAAAUGACGGUACCCGAAAAACAAGCCACGGCUAACUACGUGCCAGCAGCCGCGGUAAUACGUAGGUGGCGAGCGUUAUCCGGAUUUACUGGGUGUAAAGGGCGUGUAGGCGGUUUUUCAAGUCGGAUGUGAAAUUCCCAGGCUUAACCUGGGCGCUGCAACCGAAACUGAGAAACUUGAGUACUGGAGAGGAUAGUGGAAUUCCUAGUGUAGCGGUAAAAUGCGUAGAUAUUAGGAGGAACACCGGUGGCGAAGGCGACUAUCUGGACAGUAACUGACGCUGAGGCGCGAAAGCGUGGGGGAGCAAACAGGAUUAGAUACCCUGGCAGUCCACGCCGUAAACGAUGGAUACUAGGUGUAGGGGGUAUCGACCCCCCCUGUGCCGGAGUUAACACAAUAAGUAUCCCACCUGGGGAGUACGGCCGCAAGGCUGAAACUCAAAGGAAUUGACGGGGGCCCGCACAAGCGGUGGAGCAUGUGGUUUAAUUCGACGCAACGCGCAGAACCUUACCAGCCCUUGACAUGUCCAGGACCGGUCGCAGAGAUGUGACCUUCUCUUCGGAGCCUGGAGCACAGGUGCUGCAUGGCUGUCGUCAGCUCGUGUCGUGAGAUGUUGGGUUAAGUCCCGCAACGAGCGCAACCCCCGUCCUUAGUUGCUACCAUUUAGUUGAGCACUCUAAGGAGACUGCCGGUGAUAAGCCGCGAGGAAGGUGGGGAUGACGUCAAGUCCUCAUGGCCCUUACGGGCUGGGCUACACACGUGCUACAAUGGCGGUGACAAUGGGAUGCAAAGGGGCGACCCCUAGCAAAUCUCAAAAAGCCGUCUCAGUUCGGAUUGGGCUCUGCAACUCGAGCCCAUGAAGUUGGAAUCGCUAGUAAUCGUGGAUCAGCAUGCCACGGUGAAUACGUUCCCGGGCCUUGUACACACCGCCCGUCACACCAUGGGAGUUGGUUUUACCUGAAGACGGUGCGCUAACCGAAAGGGGGCAGCCGGCCACGGUAGGGUCAGCGACUGGGGUGAAGUCGUAACAAGGUAACC